CCCUUAGAUGUCCUGGGCUGCACGCGCGCUACACUGAUGUGUCCAGUAAGCACCUAACCUCUUCCGAAAGGAACGGGUAACCUUUGCAAAGCACAUCGUGAUGGGGAUAGAUUAUUGCAAUUAUUAGUCUUGAACGAGGAAUUACUAGUAAGCACAAGUCAUCAGCUUGUGUUGAUUACGUCCCUGCCCUUUGUACACACCGCCCGUCGCUCCUACCGAUUGAAUGUUCCGGUGAGCUCUUCGGACUGCGCGGUCUGCAGUUUCUGCGUUCCGUGCGGAAAGUUGCGCAAACCUUAACAUUUAGAGGAAGGAGAAGUCGUAACA
This 324-nucleotide ribosomal RNA is filed under the name uncultured eukaryote. RNAcentral's name for it is "partial 18S ribosomal RNA". It matches the Rfam family "Eukaryotic small subunit ribosomal RNA", at positions 1470 to 1796 of the family's 1831-position model. The record is from RNAcentral.